This 396-nucleotide ribosomal RNA is filed under the name uncultured bacterium. RNAcentral describes it as "bacterial SSU rRNA". It matches the Rfam family "Bacterial small subunit ribosomal RNA", at positions 46 to 489 of the family's 1533-position model. The record is from RNAcentral.
GCUUAACACAUGCAAGUCGAACGCCCCGCAAGGGGAGUGGCAGACGGGUGAGUAACGCGUGGGAACAUACCCCUUUCCUGCGGAAUAGCUCCGGGAAACUGGAAUUAAUACCGCAUACGCCCUACGGGGGAAAGAUUUAUCGGGGAAGGAUUGGCCCGCGUUGGAUUAGCUAGUUGGUGGGGUAAAGGCCUACCAAGGCGACGAUCCAUAGCUGGUCUGAGAGGAUGAUCAGCCACAUUGGGACUGAGACACGGCCCAAACUCCUACGGGAGGCAGCAGUGGGGAAUAUUGGACAAUGGGCGCAAGCCUGAUCCAGCCAUGCCGCGUGAGUGAUGAAGGCCUUAGGGUUGUAAAGCUCUUUCACCGNAGAAGAUAAUGACGGUAGUCGGAGAAGAA